CUCACACACGUUGCGCGCACUCACUGACCUGCGCCCACUGUCUGGCACUCCCUAGUGAGAUGAACCCGGUACCUCAGAUGGAAAUGCAGAAAUCACCCGUCGUCUUCAUCGCUCACGCUGGGAGCUGUAGAGCGGAGCUGUUCCUAUUCGGACAUCUUGACUCCUCCCAAUAUUUAUUCUUUCUAUCCAGGCACUAAGUUCAACUUUGAAAAAAAAAAGUUCCCUGUUCAACUUUUGGGGACAGAAAAGUUAAAGAGCAUCCAAAAAGAUGACAACUUACAUCUCCUUGAUACCUGCUGGAUGCUGGGAGGAGACACAGGAGCAUGAAUAGAUGACAAAGUUCAAUGAUAAUCAUUCUUUGAAGUUUAUCUACCCAAACUGGAGCCAUGUCAAAAGACUCCUUGAAGAAUGAUUGCUGGGGAAGAAAUCAAUGGCAUCAACAGAAAGAACAAAGACAGAAAAUGUAAAAGGCAAGGGGAAAAGAAAAAGAAAGACAUAAAAAUUUAAGAAAAAAGAGGCAAAAGAAAACUAAAAAAAUAGAGACUAGGCUUCUUUAAUGGCUCCAACAGAAAUUAAAAAAAAAAAAAAAAAAACUACAUCUGCCUUUUGCUUUUGAAUAAAUAGAACAUUUUACCAAUAAUGCCAAGAUGACUCACAACACACAUUUUAUGUAUCUUGUAAUUUUCCUAUACACUGCAAAGACAACAUAGUUGAGCUAAUACUAGCGAAGUCUUACAUGUAAUUAUAGGAUGCCUAUAGCAUUUCUAGUAUAAUAUAUUAAUGAAAACCAGUUAUUUAAUUAUGGCAUAAUAUCAUGAAAAGCUUUUAUAGUCACUUGCUAAAACAGACCAAAAAAACAUUUUCCCAAAUAUAGCUGAGGAACAGUAGAAUCGUAUCUUGAUGUCAGUAGAUGCCUUUGCCGGGGUGUAGAAACAGCUUCUCCUGUCAUUAAAAGGACAAACUGUAAUCCAUCUGCCAUGUAUAAUUUGACAAUCUGCAAUCUUUAAACAGUAGGAGGGAAAGACAUGUCUUCCAAAAUUUCCCCUGAAGGAGGAGGCUUUCAGCAGUUCCCAAUUACUAUCUAGGCCUAAUGUCUCACUUGAGACAUCUGCUCAGCAGUUAGUAGUGAAAACCUGGCAUACAGGAGAUCAGAGGUGUGCCUCAUAAUUAUUGUUGGCCUUUAAAUGGCCAACUUUUAGAAUAUGAGCCAAUCACUAAGCUUCAGGUGUGCAUUUUGGCAACCUUUGGUGGGGUGCCAGUAUAAACCCCCAGAUCUAACUUUUGUUCACAUAAACUUCUGAGAUGAUAAUCUUUCUAAAGUUCAAGGUGGAAAAAUUCACUGUGAAGUGAGUCUGGGUUCAGUAAUGAGCCAAAGAUCUUAACACAUUUCUACUGAUAAUAGAAGAAUGAAAAUCAUAGAAUGCCAUAGAUCCAUGUUUCCUGCAGAUAAGGAUUGCUUUCUUGGGACCCAUUUCAGCUCAUUACAUUUAUUAAGUCAACUAAAAAUCUUUCCUGGCACUGGUUCAGAAUGCACAAAGCUGUUGUCUACAAAAACCUACUUUAGUUACCACGUGGGUGUUUUCCCAGGUAGGGGUGAUUUUAAAGGGAAAAUAAGAAAAUGGAAAAUUCCAUUUUGCAGAUUUAGGCUUACCUUCUGAAAUCUUGAGAAUGCUGGGUGAGAUUUAAGACAGACUCUGUCGUUCUAUCAUCAGAGAAAUGCAAAUCAAAACCGCAAUGAGAUACUAUCUCACACCAGUCAGAAUGGCUUUUGAUAAAGAGUCAAAAAAUAACAGAUGUUGGCAAGGCUGUGGAGAAAAGGGUGAACUGAUACUCUGUUGCAAUGUAAAUUAGUCCAGCCACUGUGGAGGGGGCAGUUUGGAGAGUUUGGAAAGAAGUGAGAGUUGAACUGCCAUUCAAACCAGCAAUUCCAUUACUAGAUAGGUCUGGAUGUCUGGAAAAUAAAUUGCUGUACCAAAAGGAAACAUGCACCUGUAUGUUCACUGCAGCACUAUUCACAAUAGCAAAAACGUGGAAUCAACCCAGUUGCCCAUCAACAGUGGAAUGAAUUAAAAAAAUGUGGUACAUGUACACCAUGGAAUACUAUGUAGCCAUAAAUAAGAAUAAAAUCAUGUCAUUUGCGGCAAUAUGGAUAUAGCUGGAGGUCAUUAUCCUAAGUGAAUGAAUGUAAAAAAAGAAAACCAAACGCUGCAUGCUCUUAUUUAUAAAUGGGAGCUAAACAUUGAGUACUAAUGGACUUAAAGAUGGGAAUAAUAGACACUGGGGACUACUAAAGGGUGUGAGAGAGGGAGGGGGGAAGGGCUGAGAAACUACCCAUCGGGUAUUAUGCCCACUACCUGUGUGACAGGCUCAGUCAUACUCCAAACCCCAGCACCACACAAUAUACCUUUGUAACAAACCUGCACAUGUACGUCCUGAUUCCAAAAUAAAAGUUGGAAAAGAAAAUAAAAAAGAUGAACUCUUUGCAGAAAAGCAACGAGCUGAAAGGUACAAAUAACAGUAUUGUUAAUGGGGAAAAGAACCAGUUGAUGCUUUCUUCAUGUGCAACGGUGAGAUUGUUUCAAAACAAGUAGCAUCUGCAAGCAUCCCUUCCCAACAGCCAAAAGACCCAAUCAGGGAGGGGAAAAUGACAACCAAAUGUAAUAUGGGAUCCUAGAUUGGACCUCAGAGAAGAAAAAGG
RNAcentral lists this long non-coding RNA (2698 nucleotides) under Homo sapiens (human). RNAcentral describes it as "HSALNT0138321". Lineage: Eukaryota; Metazoa; Chordata; Mammalia; Primates; Hominidae. The record is from RNAcentral.